GACGAACGCUGGCGGCGUGCUUAACACAUGCAAGUCGUACGGUAAGGCCCUUUCGGGGGUACACGAGUGGCGCACGGGUGAGUAACACGUGAGUAACCUGCCCACAACUUUGGGAUAACGCUAGGAAACUGGUGCUAAUACUGGAUAUGUGCUCCUGCUGCAUGGUGGGGGUUGGAAAGCUCCGGCGGUUGUGGAUGGACUCGCGGCCUAUCAGCUUGUUGGGUGGGUAGUGGCCUACCAAGGCGGCGACGGGUAGCCGGCCUGAGAGGGUGACCGGCCACAUUGGGACUGAGAUACGGCCCAGACUCCUACGGGAGGCAGCAGUGGGGAAUAUUGCACAAUGGGCGCAAGCCUGAUGCAGCAACGCCGCGUGCGGGAUGACGGCCUUCGGGUUGUAAACCGCUUUCAGCAGGGACGAAGCUUUUUGUGACGGUACCUGCAGAAGAAGCACCGGCUAACUACGUG
RNAcentral lists this ribosomal RNA (465 nucleotides) under uncultured bacterium. RNAcentral's name for it is "partial 16S ribosomal RNA". It matches the Rfam family "Bacterial small subunit ribosomal RNA", at positions 28 to 507 of the family's 1533-position model. The record is from RNAcentral.